Molecule: ribosomal RNA, 253 nt
Filed under: uncultured bacterium
Lineage: Bacteria
Description: partial 16S ribosomal RNA
Rfam family: Bacterial small subunit ribosomal RNA
Source: RNAcentral
UACGGGGGGGGCAAGCGUUGUUCGGAAUUACUGGGCGUAAAGGGCUCGUAGGUGGCCAACUAAGUCAGACGUGAAAUCCCUCGGCUUAACCGGGGAACUGCGUCUGAUACUGGAUGGCUUGAGUUUGGGAGAGGGAUGCGGAAUUCCAGGUGUAGCGGUGAAAUGCGUAGAUAUCAGGAGGAACACCCGUGGCGAAGGCGGCUUCCUGGGGCCAUCCUGACACUGAGAAGCGAAAGCUAGGGGAGCGAACGGG